RNAcentral lists this long non-coding RNA (334 nucleotides) under Phoenix dactylifera (date palm). RNAcentral describes it as "long non-coding RNA (PDAC_LNC016632)". The record is from RNAcentral. Lineage: Eukaryota; Viridiplantae; Streptophyta; Magnoliopsida; Arecales; Arecaceae.
UGAAACAAAAGGUUAUCGACUAUAUGAUCCUGUAACUAAAAAAUUGAUCAUUAGUCGUGAUGUGAUUUUUGAUGAAAACAGAACUUGGAAUUUUAAUGUGGCUGAAAUUCCUAUAGUUCUAAUGGAAGAAGGUAAUAAAGUUUUGCCUGAUGUCAACACCCCGCCCGCAUUGUUUGAUGAAAAUACCUCACUUACAUCUCCUAGUCUGCAUAACAUACCUAGUGAUUCUGAUAUGCAUACAAGUGAUUCUGAUGAUUCAGAUGCAUAUGAAAGAUGUGAUUCUGACUCACCUCCACCAAAAUUUCGAAGGAUUUCAGAUAUUUACCGAUCUGUU